Non-coding RNA from Acidobacteria bacterium 13_1_20CM_2_68_14, 116 nucleotides. Lineage: Bacteria; Pseudomonadati; Acidobacteriota. The record is from Rfam.
AUCUUAUCCAGAGUGGGGGAGGGACAGGCCCGAUGAUCCCACGGCAACCGAUCCCAGGUCACACGGGAGGAUCGGUGCCAACUCCUGCGGGGCUUUCGGGCCUCGGCAGAUGAGAG